UGAGGUCAUGCAAGAUUUUUUUUUUUUUCUGUGUCAGGCUUAUUUCACUUACUAUAACAUGCAUGGCCCUAGAGGGCAUUAUCCUACAUAGUAUAUAAAACUAAAGUAAUGGAUGAAAUUAACUAAGAAUGUUGAAAUAGAUGAAAGACCAGAACCAACUGCUAAAGGAGUCUGAGAAGAAAUAGCUAGAGGGUAGCAGAAAAAUCAGGCAAGAGUACAGUUUAUUUCAAGAAGGACAUAGUGUCAAUAGUGCCACAAUCUAUUAAGAGGGCAAGUAAACUGCUGUCAGCUGGGUCAUUAAUUCAUUAGAUAUUUACUGAACAGAAAGCUGGAUUCCUGAUGUGUGGGGAGAUGCACAAAGUAUAACUACAGGUGUUUGAUGGGUAAGUCACAGCAGUAAGGGUGAGCUCUAAAGAAUACCUUAGAUCCAGAGAGAAGGUAGAGAGAAGGACUUUCAUUCAUUCUCUCACUCAUUUAUUCACCCAUUCAUAUAACAAACAGUGUUUGAGUACUAUUUCAACAAAAAGAAACCAUGUUAACACAGGUCCAUGACUUUAGAAUAGCCCAGGCUUUUCAUUAGAACAAAGAGCAGCAUACUGCCCCCAGAGUUUUUGAUUGGCAAAUCCUGUGCUUUAAUUUCUACCAUAAUUUCUUUUCUAUGCAGAAAACAAUGUAUUUUUCUGAGGAUAAGGAAAGAAAAUGAUUUAUUGACACUGAAGAACCCAUUAAUGCAGUGCCUUUGCAGAAAACCACAGAGGACUAAAUUCAUUCAGCCUUAAGGCCAGUACUACAGGCAGCUAAAGUCUGCUUCAGAACGAAACCAAUGCAGAAGAAAGCAGAACCAAGAGAUGGAGAGAGACAGAGACCCAAGAACAUCAUUUGAACGAAUAAAUUCAGCUGUGCCCUGAAGCCAGAUCAUCCAUUUGGAUUUUCCACCUACAUAAACCAAGAACCAUUCUCCUCUCCCCCUUUAUUUUCUUCAUUUACUUUGAAAUCAGUGUUGUUAUUAUUUAACCUCUCUGGCUUUCAGUUUUCUCAUCUAUAAAUUAAGAAGAUUACCCUUAAACAUCUACCAUCACCAUAAGAAGAACAUGCCCUAGCUGAAAUCUCUGGCAUGAAAAGACAAGAAACAUAUGAAUUAGGGUCACCCUAAAGUGCCCACAAACCAGUGGUUUAAAGUAGAGGUACCAGCCAAGCCCAGCCUAGAUCAACCAAGUCUUAGCCAACCUGCCAACACAGGGGCAAUAAUAAAAAUAUUGUUAAGAGCAAUAA
Molecule: long non-coding RNA, 1272 nt
Filed under: Macaca mulatta (Rhesus monkey)
Lineage: Eukaryota; Metazoa; Chordata; Mammalia; Primates; Cercopithecidae
Description: lncRNA (ENSMMUG00000055384.1)
Source: RNAcentral